RNAcentral lists this unclassified non-coding RNA (1904 nucleotides) under Fusarium oxysporum. Its description in RNAcentral is "partial 28S-18S ribosomal RNA intergenic spacer". The stretch from base 1 to 79 matches the Rfam family "Eukaryotic large subunit ribosomal RNA", at positions 3320 to 3401 of the family's 3401-position model. Lineage: Eukaryota; Fungi; Ascomycota; Sordariomycetes; Hypocreales; Nectriaceae. The record is from RNAcentral.
GCGAAACGGUCCUGUAAGCAGUAGAGUAGCCUUGUUGUUACGAUCUGCUGAGGGUAAGCCGUCCUUCGCCUCGAUUUCCCCAAUGGGUUCUCCGGAUUUCUGGAGACUUGUAGGGGUUGUGGGAUUUUUGAUGUGUCGUCUCCGGACGGGCGGUGCAGGGUAGUCGAGUUAGACUUGGUGGAAUUCCGUCGAUAGGAGUUCCGUCGAGUCUGGUCGGCUGUGUGUUGGACGGUGCAGGGUAGGCUGCUUGGACAUGGUCGGUUCGAGGAUCGAAUCGAGGGCCGGCCCGUCGAUGAUGUGUGAUGUAUGCGGUCUAGGGUAGGCUGGCUUGUCUUGGUUCAAUUUGAUGUCGGCUCCCGUGCAGGCCAGAGUGAGGGGGGUCCAGGGUAGGUACAGGGUAGGCAGCUUAGAUUUGGUCGAUCUGGAGGUCGACUCUCCGGCUGGCGGAUCUGACACUGUCGAAACGAGAUGCGAGCGGUGUAGGGUAGGCUAGUUUCGUCCUCGCCAGGUUGCGAUUUGGACGAGAUAUGUGGUUUAUGGUAUGCUCUAGGGUAAGUAGAAUUUGAGUUUCGUCGCCGACAGUUUUCUGUGGGUGUAUGGUAGGUACAGGGUAGGCAAAUCUCUCUCCGGCCAGUACUUGUCUGGUGGUCGUGAGUCGAUUUUUUCGUUUUGCCAUACUAUUGAAUUUUGCGGAAAUUCAAAAGUGGCUCGGGAGUCCCGCCUGGCGUGCGUCCGACUCGAACAUCGUCGGUGUACAUAUGAGAGGGAGUAAUCCGGCCCGGCCGGGGCCCAUCGCGAGCUGCCGGGUAGGUAAAAGUAAAAAAGUUGUUAAGAGGCGCGGUGUCGGCGUGCUUGUAUUUGCGGGAGAGAAUUAUCUGGGGGUGCUGGGUAGCCGGGAAGACUUGGACGGAUCUGGCCCGGGAAUGGGUCUGGGCCUGGAUUCUGGUGUGGUGUAGGAUAGGCGUAGAUAGAUGAGUGGUCUAGGGUAGAUACAGGGUAGCCAGAAGUCUGGUAUAUAGUAUGGGGGGUGUAGGGUAGGUCUGGACACCGUUUUCCACUUCGCCCUUCCCUUUAGUCGAGGGAGGACGAUCUUGGCUGGGACGGAGGUGUAGGGUAGGCUUAAUUUACGAUUACAUGAUCUGUGUCACUCUAGGGUAGGUGAAAAUCCCAUAUAUAUCUGAUCACAUUUGGUGAAGAGGUGGUUUGGCUGGUGAGAUGGACAAAAGUGCAAUGUAGAAUUAUAUGUGAUUUUGCAAAAGUGGGUGUGAAAUUGGAAAGUCGGUUUUCCCGCACAGAUGAGAGCACGGUUGAGGUGCCAUGAGAUGCACCUCUCCGAGACGACCUCAACGGUACCACCCAUGUGUUGGUCGGGCUCCUGUGCGGCCGUCCAGGGCGGGAUAAGAAGAGAAUGUGGUGGUGUAGGGUAGGUGACCAGGUCCAGGGUAGGUUCGCCAAAUCCGUCAAUCCGGCUUGAAUCGAAGGACAGGUCUAGGGUAGGCCAGAGUCGGGUCUAGGGUAGGCAACCCUCACCCUCGAAGUGGUCUACCCGGUAGCCAACUUCAAUCGCCUCUCACGGCCGCCACGGACCUCGAAUGACGACGGGACUACCACCGUCGGAUUCGCCUUGGUCGAAAUAGCUGGUAUAUGCACUUUUGGAAAAAUGCGUGCAAAAUGGUUUUGUGGUUUGGUGGCCGUGAGUCGAUUUUUUUGUUUUCCCAUACAAAUGAAUUUUGCGGAAAAUAAAAAGUGGCCCACGAGGCAGCCCUGGCGUGCGGCCCACUAAAACGGUCUCGGAGGGUAUAUGAGAAGGGAGCAAAUCCGGCCGAGCCUGAAAGGGUGAGGACAAACCGGGCGAGCAACCUCUCAGUAUCAGAUCUUGCAGACUUCCACUGCGUGUCCCUCUG